This 425-nucleotide ribosomal RNA is filed under the name Verrucomicrobiota bacterium. RNAcentral describes it as "Verrucomicrobia bacterium partial 16S ribosomal RNA". It matches the Rfam family "Bacterial small subunit ribosomal RNA", at positions 355 to 776 of the family's 1533-position model. Lineage: Bacteria; Pseudomonadati; Verrucomicrobiota. The record is from RNAcentral.
UGAGGAAUAUUGGUCAAUGGGCGAGAGCCUGAACCAGCCACGUCGCGUGAAGGAAGACUGACCUUACGGUUUGUAAACUUCUUUUGUAGAGGGGUAAUGGCAGAUACGUGUAUUUGCGUGAAAGUACUCUACGAAUAAGCAUCGGCUAACUCCGUGCCAGCAGCCGCGGUAAUACGGGGGAUGCGAGCGUUAUCCGGAAUUAUUGGGUUUAAAGGGUGCGCAGGUGGCUAAUCAGGUCAGUGGUGAAAAGCUAUGGCUCAACCAUGGUCUUGCCAUUGAAACCGUAUAGCUAGAGAGGAUACGAAGUAGGCGGAAUGUGUGGUGUAGCGGUGAAAUGCAUAGAUAUCACACAGAACUCCGAUUGCGAAGGCAGCUUACCAGGCUUUAUCUGACACUUAGGCACGACAGCGUGGGGAUCAAACAGG